RNAcentral lists this long non-coding RNA (1996 nucleotides) under Heterocephalus glaber (naked mole-rat). RNAcentral's name for it is "lncRNA (ENSHGLG00100042352.1)". Lineage: Eukaryota; Metazoa; Chordata; Mammalia; Rodentia; Bathyergidae. The record is from RNAcentral.
CAGGUCUUAAUGCAAAACAAAACAUUCACCUCUGACAAUCCUGAUGCCGGUGAAGUCCUCAAUGAAUGGUAACUGCUGCUUUUAUGUUAAAACACGGCUGCGAAGUAUGUCACAUGUCGUGAGACGGUAAGACCGGGGGUGCUUGCGCAGAAACACCGACGAGGAGACGCGCUUCUCAGACAGUGCAUUUGGGAUGGGUUCCUCAACCCGGGCAGGUGGAGAUCCGCAGAGCCUGGGAGGGGACUGUCUCGUGACAGGGGAUGGAGAAGGGGCAAAGGACAACAAAGGGAGUGGAGAAAGUUUUCGGGAGUGAGCAGAAUGGAGAAGCGAAGAAGAGGGUUUCAUACCCACAUUGCCCAGGUGAGACGCAAAGGAUCAGCCGAGCCAAGUCAUGUAACGGAAAAAUAAACACACAAAGAAAUACGCCUCGGGGCCGGGAGGACAUGUUAGGGCCCCUUCCCGAGGCUUCUGUCCUCGCCUCUCUUCUCUUCUCUGGGAGGAAGUGCUAAGAAAGAAGGAAAAAACUGCAAGAUCCUUUCGGUCUCGCUCGGCAUUUGUCGGGUCUUUUUCUGACUCCCCCGUCCUGCGUACAAGAGCAAGAGCAAGGGUUGCACGCUUUGUCAGAGAGAGGGAGAAGCUGCACACGUUCCGGGUGUCUGCCGAGACCUGGGAUCCCAGCACACGUGGGACUGUCACGGCGGACACGUUCUCGGCACAUUCCCAGCUCCGACUCGGCGCCUCCUCUGAGUUCAGGCACUGGGACCCUAACUCCAGGAUCUCAGGAUGCGGCAGGUUUUGAAAAUGGCGUCUUCAUAGACAUGAUGGAAUGAGGUCCCCAGGGUGGCCCCGAGCCCAGGGCUGGGUCCUCCUGAAAAGAGGGCGGGAGGACGCGGACACACACAGGGACGCGCUUGUGAGGACACAGGAAGCCUGGGGGGAGCCAGCGUUGCCCACGCUGGGCCUGGGGCCUGCAGCUCCGGGAUGUCCGAAGUUGAAGGGACCAGGCGAGGGGACUUUAAUUUGCAGAGGGAGGGCACAAUUCUGCUCCUAACAGGAAUUAGGCAUGUGGCAAAAUGCGCCUUCUACAACAGUGCUGCGUACACUGGAAAGCAAUGCAUUCUCUCCCUGGUGCAAACUAGAUGCCACAUUUUUCUCCCUGGAAGCUGGUGUGGUGGCCCACACCUGUCAGCCCACUACUCUCUCGGGAGGCUGAGGCAGGAGGAUUGCUGCAAGUUUGAGGUCAGCCUGGGCUGUGUAGCAAGACUGUCUCAACAAAACAAAAAUCAAAACAAAAUAAAGCUGUAUGCUUCUGUCCGUGGGAGAGAGACAUCCAUUUCCCUAUCGGCUGUGACAGGCUGGUGUAAACUUUGGAAGCCAGCAACUAUUCGCUUCUUUUUUAUUUUUAGGAGUGCAUAUUUACAACACGUAACGAUUGCAUUCCUCAUGGGGAGGUGGGGUGUGCAUAAUGCAGCUUAAUGCUUUUACUUCUCUUUCUCCUCCUCUCCAUCUUUUUGUCCCCUUCUCAUUUGAGAAAUACCUGUUUCUCUACUUCUUAUUACCUCUCUUUUAUUUUGCUAUUUAUCUAUACUUUCUGUUGCUGAUGUAAGAGAAACCAUGUGAUACUGAAGCUCGUGCAUCUGAUUUAUUUCACUUAACAUUGUGGUUUCAAAGUGCGUCUGUUUUCCUACAAAUGACUCAAAUUUUUCCUUCUUUAUGACUGAGUAGUACUCCAUUGUGUGUAAAUACACUAGACCCUUGACUUAUGAACUCAAUCCAUGCCUGAGAGUGGGUUGUAACUCAAGUUGGUCAGUGGAGGCUCAGCUCCUCCACACAGCCUUCAGAGUCUCUCUCCUGUCCACAGGCAGAGCUCAGUGUCCUUGGAGACACCCUGGCUCAGGAUUUCUCAGUGAACCCCACGCAGGACAGGGUGCUGUCCUGUUCCUUUCACAGCUCUUUAGGGUUCAGUCUGUACCGGAGACAAUCUGGGAGCACAAGC